RNAcentral lists this ribosomal RNA (481 nucleotides) under uncultured bacterium. RNAcentral's name for it is "partial 16S ribosomal RNA". It matches the Rfam family "Bacterial small subunit ribosomal RNA", at positions 28 to 507 of the family's 1533-position model. The record is from RNAcentral.
GAUGAACGCUGGCGGCGUGCUUAACACAUGCAAGUCGAACGAAGCACUUUAUUUGAUUUCCUUCGGGACUGAUUAUUUUGUGACUGAGUGGCGGACGGGUGAGUAACGCGUGGGUAACCUGCCUUGUACAGGGGGAUAACAGUUGGAAACGGCUGCUAAUACCGCAUAAGCGCCCAGCAUCGCAUGAUGCAGUGUGAAAAACUCCGGGGGUAUAAGAUGGACCCGCGUUGGAUUAGCUAGUUGGUGAGGUAACGGCACACCAAGGCGACAAUCCUGAGCCGAGCUGAGAGGGUGACCGGCCACAUUGGGACUGAGACACGACCCAAACUCCUACGGGAGGCAGCUGUGGGGAAUAUUGCACAAUGGGCGAAAGCCUGAUGCAGCGACGCCGUGUGAACGAAGAAGUAUUUCGGUAUGUAAAGCUCUAUCAGCAGGGAAGAUAAUGACGGUACCUGACUAAGAAGCACCGGCUAAAUACGUG